CAGCAUUGUUAGCUCAAGAGCAGAUGAGCUGCAAUAAGAGAGGAGCUGACACCAUAAUGCAAAUGGGCACCCACAGCUUCUGAGGGCUGCUGUACUAAGGACUGCAGGCUGGGCACUGCUGCAGGACAGAAGGCUCAUGAGAAGAAAGGGAAGAACAGCACAGGCAAGCUAUUUCCAAACAGGGCACAGGAGGCUUCUAGAAGAAUCUGUUCUGGAGAUGCAAGAAGAGAAUUAGC
This 236-nucleotide long non-coding RNA is filed under the name Gallus gallus (chicken). The record is from RNAcentral. Lineage: Eukaryota; Metazoa; Chordata; Aves; Galliformes; Phasianidae.